RNAcentral lists this ribosomal RNA (471 nucleotides) under Clostridioides difficile. RNAcentral's name for it is "bacterial LSU rRNA". It matches the Rfam family "Bacterial large subunit ribosomal RNA", at positions 1189 to 1665 of the family's 2925-position model. Lineage: Bacteria; Bacillati; Bacillota; Clostridia; Peptostreptococcales; Peptostreptococcaceae. The record is from RNAcentral.
UACUACCGAAGCUACGGCAUCAGUAAUGAUGGGUAGGGGGGCUUCCCAGACGGGUUGAAGCAUGACCGUAAGGACAUGUGGACAGUAUGGGAGUGAGAAUGUUGGCAUGAGUAGCGAGAUGUGGGUGGGAAUCCCACAGGCCGUAAACCCAAGGUUUCCAGGGGAAGGUUCGUCCACCCUGGGUUAGUCGGGACCUAAGCUGAGGCCGAAAGGCGUAGGUGAUGGACAACAGGUUGAUAUUCCUGUACUACCGAUAACCGUUUGAGAGAAGGGAUGACACAGUAGGAUAAGCUAAGCACACUGUUGGUUAUGUGUGCCCAAGCAUUGAGGCAGUCAAAGUAGGCAAAUCCGCUUUGAUAAUGCUGGGAUGUGAUGGGGAGCGAAAUUUAGUAGCGAAGUAGCUGAUUUCACACUGUCAAGAAAAGUCUCUAUCGAGGUUAAAGGUACCCGUACCGCAAACCGACACAGGUG